RNAcentral lists this ribosomal RNA (253 nucleotides) under uncultured bacterium. RNAcentral describes it as "partial 16S ribosomal RNA". It matches the Rfam family "Bacterial small subunit ribosomal RNA", at positions 524 to 776 of the family's 1533-position model. The record is from RNAcentral.
UACGUAGGGUGCAAGCGUUGUCCGGAAUUACUGGGUGUAAAGGGUCCGCAGGCGGGCAAGCAAGUCGGUGGUGAAAUCUCACGGCUCAACCGUGAAACGGCCGUCGAUACUGCUUGUCUUGAGUUCGAGAGAGGAUGAUGGAAUUCAUGGUGUAGCGGUGAAAUGCGUAGAGAUCAUGAAGAACACCAGUAGCGAAGGCGGUCAUCUGGCUCGAUACUGACGCUCAGGGACGAAAGCGUGGGGAGCAAACAGG